UUCGGUGUGAUGUAGUGGUUUGAGUGUUGGAUUAUGACUCUAAAGACCAGGGUUCAAUUCCCAGCUCAGCCA
Molecule: non-coding RNA, 72 nt
Organism: Phrynosoma platyrhinos (Desert horned lizard)
Lineage: Eukaryota; Metazoa; Chordata; Lepidosauria; Squamata; Phrynosomatidae
Source: the annotation of a GenBank genome assembly